This 33-nucleotide non-coding RNA is filed under the name unclassified sequences. RNAcentral's name for it is "L31-Firmicutes ribosomal protein leader". It matches the Rfam family "L31-Firmicutes ribosomal protein leader". The record is from RNAcentral.
CUCUGUUUCGCUAAUGAUUCAGGGCAGAAAGAG